RNAcentral lists this ribosomal RNA (429 nucleotides) under Pseudomonadota bacterium. RNAcentral describes it as "Proteobacteria bacterium partial 16S ribosomal RNA". It matches the Rfam family "Bacterial small subunit ribosomal RNA", at positions 355 to 776 of the family's 1533-position model. Lineage: Bacteria; Pseudomonadati; Pseudomonadota. The record is from RNAcentral.
UGGGGAAUAUUGGACAAUGGGCGAAAGCCUGAUCCAGCCAUGCCGCGUGUGUGAAGAAGGUCUUCGGAUUGUAAAGCACUUUAAGUUGGGAGGAAGGGCAGUAAGCGAAUACCUUGCUGUUUUGACGUUACCGACAGAAUAAGCACCGGCUAACUCUGUGCCAGCAGCCGCGGUAAUACAGAGGGUGCAAGCGUUAAUCGGAAUUACUGGGCGUAAAGCGCGCGUAGGUGGUUCGUUAAGUUGAAUGUGAAAGCCCCGGGCUCAACCUGGGAGCUGCAUCCAAAACUGGCGAGCUAGAGUAGGGCAGAGGGUGGUGGAAUUUCCUGUGUAGCGGAGAAAUGCGUAGAUAUAGGAAGGAACACCAGUGGCGAAGGCGACCACCUGGGCUCAUACUGACACUGAGGUGCGAAAGCGUGGGGAGCAAACAGG